Molecule: ribosomal RNA, 358 nt
Filed under: uncultured Polaromonas sp.
Lineage: Bacteria; Pseudomonadati; Pseudomonadota; Betaproteobacteria; Burkholderiales; Comamonadaceae
Description: bacterial SSU rRNA
Rfam family: Bacterial small subunit ribosomal RNA
Source: RNAcentral
CAAGGGCCCUGCACAGGUGGUGCAUGGCUGUCGUCAGCUCGUGUCGUGAGAUGUUGGGUUAAGUCCCGCAACGAGCGCAACCCUUGUCAUUAGUUGCUACAUUCAGUUGGGCACUCUAAUGAGACUGCCGGUGACAAACCGGAGGAAGGUGGGGAUGACGUCAAGUCCUCAUGGCCCUUAUAGGUGGGGCUACACACGUCAUACAAUGGAUGGUACAAAGGGUCGCCAACCCGCGAGGGGGAGCCAAUCCCAUAAAGCCAUUCGUAGUCCGGAUCGCAGUCUGCAACUCGACUGCGUGAAGUCGGAAUCGCUAGUAAUCGUGGAUCAGAAUGUCACGGUGAAUACGUUCCCGGGUCUU